This 515-nucleotide ribosomal RNA is filed under the name uncultured bacterium. Its description in RNAcentral is "partial 16S ribosomal RNA". It matches the Rfam family "Bacterial small subunit ribosomal RNA", at positions 28 to 523 of the family's 1533-position model. The record is from RNAcentral.
GAUGAACGCUGGCGGCGUGCCUAAUACAUGCAAGUCGAGCGAAUGGAUUAAGAGCUUGCUCUUAUGAAGUUAGCGGCGGACGGGUGAGUAACACGUGGGUAACCUGCCCAUAAGACUGGGAUAACUCCGGGAAACCGGGGCUAAUACCGGAUAACAUUUUGAACCGCAUGGUUCGAAAUUGAAAGGCGGCUUCGGCUGUCACUUAUGGAUGGACCCGCGUCGCAUUAGCUAGUUGGUGAGGUAACGGCUCACCAAGGCCACGAUGCGUAGCCGACCUGAGAGGGUGAUCGGCCAAACUGGGACUGAGACACGGCCCAGACUCCUACGGGAGGCAGCAGUAGGGAAUCUUCUGCAAUGGACGAAAGUCUGACGGAGCAACGCCGCGUGAGUGAUGAAGGCUUUCGGGUCGUAAAACUCUGUUGUUAGGGAAGAACAAGUGCUAGUUGAAUAAGCUGGCACCUUGACGGUACCUAACCAGAAAGCCACGGCUAACUACGUGCCAGCAGCCGCUGUAA